CUUUAAUUUUCUUAAAAGGACGGGAUUAAUAAGUAGAAUGUAACUCUCUGUUCCACACUCCGGAGCAGAAGGUGGCGGUAAUGCACCUAAUUACGCUGGUUUCCAGCCGCAAGAAGAAGAAGAACAACAACAAACUGUUGAUAACGGACAAUAAUCACGAUAAGAGGACACUCUUAAAAGUACACCUCACCUGUACUUUUUUUUCCUGAGCCACAGGAGAAAAUGCUCACUCUUGUGUGUAUGUUGACUUUUUGGCCAGUCGUUAACGCAGGUUCUCACUCACUGAUGGCUUUGGCAACAUAUAUAGUUGGACAAACACAAUUUCCCGAGUUUAGUGUUGUGGUGAUGUUGGAUGAUGUACAAAUAGUGUAUUAUGACUCAACCACGUGGAAACCUGUCUAUCGCUCUCACAGUGAUUCAAAAUACUAUGAUGAAGAGCAAAGUGAUGCUGGUGUUGUAUUGCGUGAUAUGUAUUAUGACAUGAAAGAUCGAGCCUUUUAUCUUAAGGAGCACCAAAAUCACACAGGUGGUGUACAUGUUCAUCAGAGACUUGUUGGAUGUGAACUGUUGAACAGCAAUAAACCAGGUCAACUUCACUACUGGGAUGCUUUCGGUGGACAAAAUAUGGAGGAGUUUAUUUUUGAUGUAGGAAAACACGCUAUCCAGAUAAAAAUGCCGUGGGUGAUAACAUGGGACCAACUAAAACGGGUUCAUGAAAACUUUAUGUAUGAAAAUGUUUAUCAUCCUAUUUGCAUUAAAACUUUGAGAAGGUACCUGAAUAUGGAGAAGAACAAUGUGCUGAGAAAAGUGAAGCCCAGAGUCAGACUCAUGAAGAAGACACUCUCAGACUCUCAAGGGCUUCAGAUCAGCUGUCUGGCCACUGGUUUUUACCCCCGUCACAUUAACCUGACCCUGUUCAGAGAUGGUCAGCCUGUGGAUGAUGAUCAGAUCACAGGAGGAGAGAUUCUGCCCAACGGAGACGGAACUUACCAGAUGAGGAAGAGUUUGGUGAUCAGUGAAGAAGAGCUACGUGAGGAACAUAAAUACAACUGCACAAUGAAGCACCUCAAUCUGGACAACAAACUGGACAUUAUUUUUGAUGUGGCUGAAUCUGACCCAGGAUCAUUUACGCAGUCUGUAGUUUUCAGUGUGCUGGUGUUCAUGUGUGUGGUUGUUCUCAUCAUAACUGCACUCAUUAUAUGGAGGAAGAGACGAGCUGCUGGUAAAUUUUAAGUAGAAAGGUUCAGUUUCCAAGACAACCCAGAGUCAUUACACUCGGACUCCAAUGCGAGAUGCAACUUGAAAAAAAAUUAGCCUGUAUGGACUCAAAUUGAUGAGGUAAUACACACACAGUAUUUGGUCUCAUUUGUUUCCUGUGGAUGUCGGUGGCUCUUAUUGGAGUCUUUGAUGGGACAUUGGAAAGUUGCUCAUCAAGCUGUAUCCUCUUAUGAAGAAUGCACCUCAGUAUGACACGCUGCUCAAAAAUAAGACUGAUCGAAACACAAUGAUGUAGGAGUUUUUUUUAUAUAUAUUAUUAUAACAGUUACAGCGCAAUCAAGGUAUACUUUUUUUGGCCAUUAUGUGUGUUUUCCAGGAAAACAAACUGAUAAGCUUGAAAAUUGCUAGCACUAUACUCUGAUUAGUAGAGCUACAGGAAUACAUUUGUAAUUGAGCCAUUGCAUAAAUGUAUUUGCAUCAAAAACAUAUUCUGUUAUGUGGCAAAGACAUUCAUUUAAAUGACAUGGGAGUUGGUGCACUACCUUGAACACCUGACACAUCCAGUGUUAUAUGACACCUUAUUGAUCAAUAAAAAACUCUA
RNA transcript from Sinocyclocheilus rhinocerous, 1819 nucleotides. It is a transcript of the gene named major histocompatibility complex class I-related gene protein-like, with no coding region annotated. The transcript is spliced from 7 exons. Lineage: Eukaryota; Metazoa; Chordata; Actinopteri; Cypriniformes; Cyprinidae. The record is from RefSeq and is a predicted model, not a curated record.